RNAcentral lists this non-coding RNA (23 nucleotides) under Mus musculus (house mouse). Lineage: Eukaryota; Metazoa; Chordata; Mammalia; Rodentia; Muridae. The record is from RNAcentral.
UGCCAAGGCUGCAAAGGCUGCCA